CCUANGGGGGGCAGCAGUCGAGAAUUUUUCUCAAUGGGGGAAACCCUGAAGGAGCGACGCCGCGUGGAGGAUGAAGGUCUUCGGAUUGUAAACUCCUGUCAUUUGGGAACAAGUUGCAUUGGUUAACUGCCGAUGCAUUGAUAGUACCAGAAGAGGAAGAGACGGCUAACUCUGUGCCAGCAGCCGCGGUAAUACAGAGGUCUCAAGCGUUGUUCGGAUUCAUUGGGCGUAAAGGGUGCGUAGGUGGCGAGGUUAGUCAGGUGUGAAAUCUCGGGGCUCAACCCCGAAACUGCACUUGAUACUGCCUUGCUAGAGUACUGGAGAGGAGAUUGGAAUUUACGGUGUAGCAGUGAAAUGCGUAGAUAUCGUAAGGAAGACCAGUGGCGAAGGCGAAUCUCUGGACAGUUACUGACACUGAGGCACGAAGGCCAGGGGAGCAAACGGGAUUAGAUACCCCGNUANUC
RNAcentral lists this ribosomal RNA (464 nucleotides) under uncultured bacterium. RNAcentral describes it as "bacterial SSU rRNA". It matches the Rfam family "Bacterial small subunit ribosomal RNA", at positions 338 to 795 of the family's 1533-position model. The record is from RNAcentral.